AAUUUUGGACAAUGGGGGCAACCCUGAUCCAGCCAUCCCGCGUGUGCGAUGAAGGCCUCCGGGUUGUAAAUCACUUUUUGCAGGGAAGAACAGUCUCUGGCUAAUACCUGGAGCUGCUGACGGUACCUGCAGAAUCAGCACCGGCUCACUACGGUCCAGCAGCCCCGGUAAUACGUAGGGUGCAAGCUUCAAUCGGAAUUACCGGGCGUAAAGCGUGCGCAGGCGGUUCGGCAAGAAGGAUGUGAAAUCCCAGGGCUUAACCUUGGAACUGCAUUCUUAACUGCCGGGCUAGAGUAUGUCAGAGGGGGGUAGAAUUCCGCGUGUAGCAGUGGAAUGCGUAGAGAUGCGGAGGAAUACCGAUGGCGAAGGCAGCCCCCUGGGAUAAUACUGACGCUCAUGCACGAAAGCGUGGGGAGCAAAC
This 421-nucleotide ribosomal RNA is filed under the name uncultured bacterium. Its description in RNAcentral is "partial 16S ribosomal RNA". It matches the Rfam family "Bacterial small subunit ribosomal RNA", at positions 360 to 773 of the family's 1533-position model. The record is from RNAcentral.